UACGAAGGGUGCAAGCGUUGUUCGGAUUUACUGGGCGUAAAGCGUCCGUAGGUGGUUUGUUAAGUCAGGGGUGAAAUCCCGGGGCCCAACCCCGGAACUGCCUUUGAUACUGGCAAGCUGGAGCGUGAUAGAGGAAGAUGGAAUAUCUGGUGUAGGGGUGAAAUCCGUAGAUAUCAAGAGGAAUACUCAUUGCGAAGGCGACCUGCUAGAACAUAACUGACGCUGAUGCGCGAAAGCGUGGGGAGCAAACAGG
This 253-nucleotide ribosomal RNA is filed under the name uncultured bacterium. RNAcentral's name for it is "partial 16S ribosomal RNA". It matches the Rfam family "Bacterial small subunit ribosomal RNA", at positions 524 to 776 of the family's 1533-position model. The record is from RNAcentral.